AUGGAGAUCGAGCUCUGGCUGCUAUGGCCGACGCUCGCGGUCGUCUCGCUCCUCUACUGUCUGGCCAUCACGGCACGCACACGCCGUGCGGGCACGGGGCGGAUGCCACCGGGUCCCACGCCGCUCCCUCUCGUCGGCAACAUGCUCAGCCUCGUCGGCAACCUCCACCACACCCUCGCGCGCCUCGCUCGCGCCUACGGCCCCGUCAUGACGCUCAAGCUUGGCCUCACCACCGCCGUGAUCGUGUCCUCGCGCGAUGCGGCUUGGGAGGCAUUGACGAAGCAUGACCGGCGGCUGGCUGCGCACGCCAUCCCAGACGCCGCACGCGCGCUCGGCCACUCCGACCGGUCCAUGAUAUGGCUGCCCAGCUCCGACCCGCUCUGGAAGAGCUUGCGCGGCAUCGUGGCCGCCAACGUCUUCUCCCCGCGCGCCCUCGCCGCGGCGCGCGCCGCCCGCGAGCGUAAGGUGCGCGACAUGGUGCAUCACUUCCGCGACCGCGCCGACACAGAGGUGGACGUCGGCCAGGCACUGUACGCUGGCGUGCUCAACGUCUUGUCGAACGCGCUCUGCUCUGUCGACGUGGUCGACAUGGGCGCCGCCGAGUCAGCGCAGGGCGUGCGGGAGCUCGUCGAGGAUCUCAUCGCGGUGAUUGCCAAGCCCAACAUCUCCGACCUCGUCCCUUGCCUUCGGUGGCUCGACCUGCAAGGAUGGCGUCGCUGGACGGCGAUACGCAUCGACAAAAUCGUCCGCCUGUUGGAUGACAUAAUCGACGGUCGUAUGGCAGCUGCUGCCAACACCUCCACGGAGGAGAAGCAUGGCGACUUCCUGGAGCUCUUCUCCACGGGCAAGAUCGCCCGCGACACCCUGACAGCCAUACUGUUCGACGUCUUCACGGCCGGAAGCGACACGAUGUCGCUCACCGUCGAGUGGGCAAUGGCGGAGCUGCUCAAGAACCCGGCCAUCAUGGCAAAGGUUCGCGCGGAGAUAGACGAUGCUCUUGGCGGCAAGGAGACCAUCGGCGAGAACGACGCGGCGGGCUUGCCGUACCUCCAGGCCGUGGUGAAGGAGGCCAUGCGACUGCACCCGGUGGUGCCGAUACUGCUGCCCCGCCGGGCCGUGGAGGACGGCGUGGAGAUCGGCGGCUACGCCGUGCCCAAGGGCUCGACGGUCAUCUUCAACGCGUGGGCGAUGAUGCGGGACCCGGCGGCGUGGGAGAGGCCCGACGAGUUCAUCCCGGAGAGGUUCCUGGGCAAGGCGGACCAGGUGGUGGACUUCCGGGGUAAGGCCUUCGAGUUCAUCCCGUUUGGGUCCGGCCGGAGGCUGUGCCCCGGCGUGCCGAUGGCGGAGCGCGUGGUGCCGUUCAUCCUGGCCUCGCUGCUGCACGCGUUCGAGUGGCGGCUACCGGACGGCGGUUCCGCGGCGGAGUUGGACGUGAGCGAGAGAUUUACCACUGCAAAUGUGAUGGCUGUCCCACUCAAGGCCGUGCCCGUCGUGGUGCACAUCUCUGCACGUAACGGUUUUCUUCAGCAAAAUUCGUCACGGGAGGACAUGUCAACGUGA
RNAcentral lists this ribosomal RNA (1560 nucleotides) under Triticum aestivum (bread wheat). RNAcentral's name for it is "partial small subunit ribosomal RNA". Lineage: Eukaryota; Viridiplantae; Streptophyta; Magnoliopsida; Poales; Poaceae. The record is from RNAcentral.